CAGAGGUCCCGAGCGUUGUUCGGAUUCACUGGGCGUAAAGGGUGCGUAGGUGGUGAGGUAAGUCGGAUGUGAAAUCUCCGGGCUCAACCCGGAAAUGGCAUUGGAAAACUACCUUGCUGGAGGAUUUGAGGGGGGAUUGGAAUACUUGGUGUAGCAGUGAAAUGCGUAGAUAUCAAGUGGAACACCAGUGGCGAAGGCGAAUCCCUGGAAGAUACCUGACACUGAGGCACGAAAGCUAGGGGAGCAAACAGGAUUAGAUACCCUGGUAGUCCUAGCCCUAAACGGUGCUUGCUUGCUGUAAGAGGAAUCGACCCCUCUAGUGGCGGAGCUAACGCGUUAAGCAAGCCGCCUGGGAAGUACGGUCGCAAGAUUA
RNAcentral lists this ribosomal RNA (373 nucleotides) under uncultured organism. RNAcentral describes it as "bacterial SSU rRNA". It matches the Rfam family "Bacterial small subunit ribosomal RNA", at positions 526 to 896 of the family's 1533-position model. The record is from RNAcentral.